UCUCUCCUUCAAAACUACGUCGUUUUAUACAUCAACUUAAAACAUAAAAAAAAAACCCUACUCUUUACAUUUAACUUCAGCCGCCUCACGCCCUCACCCUCAUUCUUUUCUUUUCUUCUCUACACAGACGCUCUGUUUCUCUGUUACUUGAUUCUCUGUUACUAUAAACUGAUUUUUUUAUUACUCGCACAAAUCGAUCAUCAACGACUAUAUUUUGUGAAACCAGUAGAUCUAGAGGAUUCGGAUUCGUCACCUUCAGCAACGAGAAGUCAAUGAGGGACGCGAUCGAAGGAAUGAACGGCCAGAACCUUGACGGCCGCAACAUCACAGUCAACGAGGCUUAGUCUCGCGAUAACGGAGGCGACGGUGGUGGCGGAGGCUACAGCCGUGGCGGAGGUGGUUACGGAGGCGACGGUGUUGUUACAUUUAUUUAUAGUUUUUUUAUUCAAUUAAUUAUGUUCUUUGAUCAA
This is a long non-coding RNA of Quercus robur (English oak), 470 nucleotides long. RefSeq lists it as uncharacterized. Lineage: Eukaryota; Viridiplantae; Streptophyta; Magnoliopsida; Fagales; Fagaceae. The record is from RefSeq and is a predicted model, not a curated record. The transcript is spliced from 2 exons.